This is a long non-coding RNA of Clupea harengus (Atlantic herring), 903 nucleotides long. Lineage: Eukaryota; Metazoa; Chordata; Actinopteri; Clupeiformes; Clupeidae. The record is from Ensembl.
GUAGUGUGUGUCUGGAGUAGUGUGUGUCCACUGGAGUAGUGUGUGUGUGGAGUAGUGUGUGUGUGUGUGGAGUAGUGUGUGUCUGGAGUAGUGUGUUGUGUGUGUCUGGAGUAGUGUGUGUCCACUGGAGUAGUGUGUGUCUGGAGUAGUGUGUGUGGAGUAGUGUGUGUGUGGAGUAGUGUGUGUGUCUGGAGUAGUGUGUGUCCACUGGAGUAGUGUGUGUCUGGAGUAGUGUGUGUGUGGAGUAGUGUGUGUGUGGAGUAGUGUGUGUCUGGAGUAGUGUGUGUGUGGAGUAGUGUGUGUCUGGAGUAGUGUGUGUGUGGAGUAGUGUGUGUGUGGAGUAGUGUGUGUGUCCACUGGAGUAGUGUGUGUCUGGAGUAGUGUGUGUCUGGAGUAGUGUGUGUCCACUGGAGUAGUGUGUGUCUGGAGUAGUGUGUGUGUGGAGUAGUGUGUGUCUGGAGUAGUGUAUGUCCACUGGAGUAGUGUGUGUCUGGAGUAGUGUGUGUGUGGAGUAGUGUGUGUCUGGAGUAGUCUGUGUGUGGAGUAGUGUGUGUGUGGAGUAGUGUGUGUGUGUCUGGAGUAGUGUGUGUCCACUGGAGUAGUGUGUUUGUGUCUGGAGUAGUGUGUGUCCACUGGAGUAGUGUGUGUGUCUGGAGUAGUGUGUGUCUGGAGAAGUGUGUGUGUGGAGUAGUGUGUGUCUGGAGUAGUGUGUGUCUGGAGAAGUGUGUGUGUGGAGUAGUGUGUGUGUGUCCACUGGAGUAGUGUGUGUGGAGUAGUGUGUGUCUAGAGUAGUGUGUGUGUGGAGUAGUGUGUGUGUGUCCACUGGAGUAGUGUGUGUGGAGUAGUGUGUGUCUGGAGUAGUGUGUCCACUGGAGUAGUGUGUGUGUGUGGAGUAGUGUGUGU